ACGCUCGACACCUACGGGAGCAGCAGUGGGGAAUAUUGGGCAAUGGGCGCAAGCCUGACCCAGCAACGCCGCGUGAAGGAAGAAGGCUUUCGGGUUGUAAACUUCUUUUCUUCAGGGACGAAGGAAGUGACGGUACCUGAGGAACAAGCCACGGCUAACUACGUGCCAACAGCCGCGGUAAUCUGAGCGGGCGUGGCAAGGC
RNAcentral lists this ribosomal RNA (202 nucleotides) under uncultured bacterium. RNAcentral's name for it is "partial 16S ribosomal RNA". It matches the Rfam family "Bacterial small subunit ribosomal RNA", at positions 328 to 538 of the family's 1533-position model. The record is from RNAcentral.